This 54-nucleotide transfer RNA is filed under the name Sphingomonas sp. BK036. RNAcentral's name for it is "tRNA-Met". It matches the Rfam family "tRNA", at positions 19 to 71 of the family's 71-position model. Rfam says of the family: Transfer RNA (tRNA) molecules are approximately 80 nucleotides in length. Their secondary structure includes four short double-helical elements and three loops (D, anti-codon, and T loops). Further hydrogen bonds mediate the characteristic L-shaped molecular structure. tRNAs have two regions of fundamental functional importance: the anti-codon, which is responsible for specific mRNA codon recognition, and the 3' end, to which the tRNAs corresponding amino acid is attached (by aminoacyl-tRNA synthetases). tRNAs cope with the degeneracy of the genetic code in two manners: having more than one tRNA (with a specific anti-codon) for a particular amino acid; and 'wobble' base-pairing, i.e. permitting non-standard base-pairing at the 3rd anti-codon position. The record is from RNAcentral. Lineage: Bacteria; Pseudomonadati; Pseudomonadota; Alphaproteobacteria; Sphingomonadales; Sphingomonadaceae.
UAGCUCGUCAGGCUCAUAACCUGAAGGUCACAGGUUCAAAUCCUGUCCCCGCAA